UGCGCAGGCGGGCUUGUAAGUCAGUGGUGAAAUACUGCCGCUUAACGGUAGAACUGCCAUUGAUACUGCGAGUCUUGAAUAUGGUUGAGGUAGGCGGAAUGUGUUGUGUAGCGGUGAAAUGCAUAGAUAUGACACAGAACGCCGAUUGCGAAGGCAGCUUACUAAGCCAUUAUUGACGCUGAGGCACGAAAGCGUGGGGAGCGAACAGGAUUAGAUACCUGGUAGUCC
RNAcentral lists this ribosomal RNA (228 nucleotides) under uncultured bacterium. Its description in RNAcentral is "partial 16S ribosomal RNA". It matches the Rfam family "Bacterial small subunit ribosomal RNA", at positions 568 to 796 of the family's 1533-position model. The record is from RNAcentral.